RNAcentral lists this ribosomal RNA (930 nucleotides) under uncultured bacterium. Its description in RNAcentral is "bacterial SSU rRNA". It matches the Rfam family "Bacterial small subunit ribosomal RNA", at positions 33 to 990 of the family's 1533-position model. The record is from RNAcentral.
ACGCUGACAGAAUGCUUAACACAUGCAAGUCUACUUGAACUUCGGUUUGGGUGGCGGACGGGUGAGUAACGCGUAAAGAACUUGCCUCACAGUUAGGGACAACAUUUGGAAACGAAUGCUAAUACCUGAUAUUAUGAUUUUAGGGCAUCCUAAGAUUAUGAAAGCUAUAUGUGCUGUGAGAGAGCUUUGCGUCCCAUUAGCUAGUUGGAGAGGUAACGGCUCACCAAGGUGAUGAUGGGUAGCCGGCCUGAGAGGGUGAACGGCCACAAGGGGACUGAGACACGGCCCUUACUCCUACGGGAGGCAGCAGUGGGGAAUAUUGGACAAUGGACCAAAAGUCUGAUCCAGCAAUUCUGUGUGCACGAUGACGUUUUUCGGAAUGUAAAGUGCUUUCAGUUGGGAAGAAAAAAAUGACGGUACCAACAGAAGAAGUGACGGCUAAAUACGUGCCAGCAGCCGCGGUAAUACGUAUGUCACAAGCGUUAUCCGGAUUUAUUGGGCGUAAAGCGCGUCUAGGUGGUUAUGUAAGUCUGAUGUGAAAAUGCAGGGCUCAACUCUGUAUUGCGUUGGAAACUGCAUGACUAGAGUACUGGAGAGGUAAGCGGAACUACAAGUGUAGAGGUGAAAUUCGUAGAUAUUUGUAGGAAUGCCGAUGGGGAAGCCAGCUUACUGGACAGAUACUGACGCUAAAGCGCGAAAGCGUGGGUAGCAAACAGGAUUAGAUACCCUGGUAGUCCACGCCGUAAACGAUGAUUACUAGGUGUUGGGGGUCGAACCUCAGCGCCCAAGCUAACGCGAUAAGUAAUCCGCCUGGGGAGUACGUACGCAAGUAUGAAACUCAAAGGAAUUGACGGGGACCCGCACAAGCGGUGGAAGCAUGGUGGUUUAAUUCGACGCAACGCGAGGAACCUUACCAGCGUUUGACAUCUU